AGGAAUUGGCGGGGGAGCACCACAAGGGGUGAAGCCUGCGGUUCAAUUGGAGUCAACGCCAGGAAUCUUACCUGGGGAGACAGCAGAAUGAAGGUCAAGCUGAAGACUUUACCAGACAAGCUGAGAGGAGGUGCAUGGCCGUCGCCAGCUCGUGCCGUGAGGUGUCCUGUUAAGUCAGGUAACGAGCGAGAUCCCUGCCCUUAGUUGCUACAGUUACUCUCAGGAGUAGCUGGGCUAACUAGGGGGACCGCCACUGCUGAAGUGGAGGAAGGAGGGGGCCACGGCAGGUCAGUAUGCCCCGAAACCCUAGGGCUACACGCGGGCUGCAAUGGUAGCGACAACGGGUUCCGAACUCGAGAGAGAGAGGCAAUCCCUAAACGCUACCUCAGUUAUGAUUGAGGGCUGCAACUCGCCCUCAUGAAUAUGGAAUCCCUAGUAACCGCGCGUCACAACCGCGCAGUGAAUACGUCCCUGCUCCUUGCACACACCGCCCGUC
RNAcentral lists this ribosomal RNA (496 nucleotides) under uncultured crenarchaeote. Its description in RNAcentral is "bacterial SSU rRNA". It matches the Rfam family "Archaeal small subunit ribosomal RNA", at positions 860 to 1354 of the family's 1478-position model. Lineage: Archaea; Thermoproteati; Thermoproteota. The record is from RNAcentral.